UAAAGUGUGACUGUGUCCAUCAACCUCUGAAGAUCACCUACAAAAAAGCUGCCAUCUUUGAGAUCCGGUAUCUGGUGAUUUUUCUUAUGGAUAA
Alosa sapidissima (American shad) is the source of this 94-nucleotide long non-coding RNA. RefSeq lists it as uncharacterized. The record is from RefSeq and is a predicted model, not a curated record. Lineage: Eukaryota; Metazoa; Chordata; Actinopteri; Clupeiformes; Clupeidae. The transcript has 3 exons.